This 74-nucleotide transfer RNA is filed under the name Spirosomataceae bacterium. RNAcentral describes it as "tRNA-Asn". It matches the Rfam family "tRNA". From Rfam's summary of the family: Transfer RNA (tRNA) molecules are approximately 80 nucleotides in length. Their secondary structure includes four short double-helical elements and three loops (D, anti-codon, and T loops). The record is from RNAcentral. Lineage: Bacteria; Pseudomonadati; Bacteroidota; Cytophagia; Cytophagales; Spirosomataceae.
UCUCGAGUAGCUCAGUCGGUUAGAGCAUCUGACUGUUAAUCAGAGGGUCGCUGGUUCGAGCCCAGCCUCGAGAG